CCUACGGGUGGCAGCAGUGGGGGAUAUUGCACAAUGGGGGAAACCCUGAUGCAGCGACGCCGCGUGUGGGAAGACGGUCUUCUGGAUUGUAAACCACUGUCCCCAGGGACGAAAAUGACGGUACCUGGGGAGGAAGCUCCGGCUAACUACGUGCCAGCAGCCGCGGUAUUACGUAGGGAGCAAGCGUUGUCAGGAAUUACUGGGGGAAAAGGGAGCGUAGGCGGGGAUGCAAGGUGGGGGUCAAGACUACCGGCUCAACCGAUAGUCGCACUCAAAACUGCAGCGCUGGAGUGAAGGAGAGGCAGGCGGAAUUCCUAGUGUAGCGGUGAAAUGCGUAGAUAUUAGGAGGAACACCAGUGGCGAAGGCGGCCUGCUGGGCUUUGACUGACGUUGAGGCUCGAAAGUGUGGGGAGCAAACAGGAUUAGAUACCCUAGUAGUC
This 440-nucleotide ribosomal RNA is filed under the name uncultured bacterium. RNAcentral's name for it is "partial 16S ribosomal RNA". It matches the Rfam family "Bacterial small subunit ribosomal RNA", at positions 338 to 795 of the family's 1533-position model. The record is from RNAcentral.